RNAcentral lists this non-coding RNA (45 nucleotides) under Schistosoma margrebowiei. The record is from RNAcentral. Lineage: Eukaryota; Metazoa; Platyhelminthes; Trematoda; Strigeidida; Schistosomatidae.
AUCCAAUUGGCGAGUCUCAAAUAGGACGAAACGUGCGUCCUUGAU